GGCUAUAAGAAAUAUUCUCCCCUGAAUGCACCCAAUCUCAUCUGAUCUCGGAAGCUAAGCAGGAUUGGGUCUGGUUAGUACAUGGAUGGGAGACCACCUGGGAAUACCAGGGGCUGUAGGCU
Molecule: ribosomal RNA, 122 nt
Filed under: Saimiri boliviensis boliviensis (Bolivian squirrel monkey)
Lineage: Eukaryota; Metazoa; Chordata; Mammalia; Primates; Cebidae
Source: RNAcentral